AGUGGCGAACGGGUGAGUAACACGUGGGGCAACCUGCCCAAAANAGGGGGAUAACACUUGGAAACAGGUGCUAAUACCGCAUAACCAUAGUUACCGCAUGGUAACUAUGUAAAAGGUGGCUAUACUACCGCUUUUGGAUGGGCCCGCGGCGCAUUAGCUAGUUGGUAGGGUAAAGGCUUACCAAGGCAAUGAUGCGUAGCCGAAUUGAGAGGUUGAUCGGCCACAUUGGGACUGAGACACGGCCCAAACUCCUACGGAAGGCAGCAG
Molecule: ribosomal RNA, 267 nt
Filed under: uncultured bacterium
Lineage: Bacteria
Description: partial 16S ribosomal RNA
Rfam family: Bacterial small subunit ribosomal RNA
Source: RNAcentral